This is a non-coding RNA of Equus caballus (horse), 4729 nucleotides long. The record is from RefSeq and is a predicted model, not a curated record. NCBI's taxonomy places the organism in Eukaryota, Metazoa, Chordata, Mammalia, Perissodactyla, Equidae.
CGAGCGCCUGUCGCGGAGGCGCAUGCGCGGCGAGCAGCUGCUCCGUCGGCGGAGGAGACGCCGGACGCCGCGGGGGAGGCAACGUCGGGGUUCUGAUGCGGCCGCUCACAGGCCGGGUGAACCUGGACGCUCAGCGUCUCCGAGCCGCGGUUCCCUCCUCCGUGCCCCGGGGCUUCCUCGAGGGUUAAGCAGACAGGAAAGCAGCCUGAGGACCGAAUUCAAGUGACUCCAACCCUUUGUGCUCUUGCAAGAACAGAAGCAGGCCCCCUUGCUGUCACGGUUUCUCAGACUGGGCCUGGUUUUGGUGAGACCUUGACGUUUUGAGGAGUUCCGGCUGUGUGCUUUCUAGGACGCUCUCUCCUGGGAUCUCUCUGCUGUGUUCCUGGUGAGUGGACAGGGGCUCUGGGUUCUGAGAGGAGAAAGGGGCCGAGCGCCAUGGCCAUCCUCUCCCGUCACCAUUGACGGUGUGUGCUCUGGCCGUGACCUGCGACGGCUGGUGUCGCCUGGGAGGCAGGGCCCUGCCUUCUCCGUGGCAGAGUCGCUCUUUUCUGCCCCUCUUUCCAUUCCGUGCUCCCCUGAAGGAGCCACUGUGCGCGGCCCACACUCAUGGGGAGGGGGCCUCACACCACCUCCUUGGGUGCAGAAUCCACAAGAAUCAUCUGGAAUUCUUCCAUGGGGGAGAUUUGUCUCCUCCCUCUCAUUUAUUAACUUAGUCCUUUGUACUAGUCUGGACUCACGGAUAUUCAUUUUAUGCUCUGGGCUAUAAUUGUAUUUGUUUUGUUGCUCAAAUUGUCCCAGUUUUGGCAGUAGGGGGCUCUUCCCAUUGGUUUUGUGGCCCUUUGACACACCCCAUCUGUGUGUGUGUGCAUGUAUGUGCACGUGCGUGCAUGUGUCUGCGAGUGCGUGUCUGUGUGUGCAUGCAUGUGUGACACACAUGUGCGUUUAAUCACUUUCCCACUUUGUGGCGCUACGAGGCGCUCUCUUCUCUUCAUCCCCGCUCUUGGCUCUUGGCUCUUCUUGGUCUUCUUCUCAACUCUUUGUUUUCACGAAGUGAAGUAAACGCCUUGACUGCCGAGGCCGAGUGUGCAGCCCCUUCCUGGUGACCCAGAGGCGCCAUGUUCUCUCGGCUGCACAGGCAGGUGUCAUCCGGCCACCGCAGGCGCCUUCAAGUAGACAUCAUCGUUCUUGUUCUAGAGGGACUCCGGGAUGGUGAGGAAUUGGGUCAGAACCACGCGGAGGAGCAGGACCCGAACCCAGGCGCUCCCUGCGCGAUGUGGUCACCUCGCCUUCCAGGAUAAGCUUCCGGAGCCUCUGCUUGGAGCAAGGGCUGUGGCAGCACCUCUCUGAGGAGGGGACAGGCCUCCACGUCCCCACACGUCCCCGUCUGAAGCCCCCGUGUGGCUCCCUGGCGCUGCCUCUUCCCGGCGCCGUCCACCCUGCAGCUCUGCUUGGGCUUUGGGAGGCACCUGCCCCACACGGUGGGAACGGCGCUGUGCGCGGGUUCCGCCACCACGAGCCGAGCCCCAUGAGCCUCUGAGAUCCGCUCCCGGUGCUGAACGUCGUCUGCCGCGAGGGGGGAGAGUGGCUGGCGUUGGGUCAAGUCCACCCACCGCGGACGGCUUUGGUGGAUUUUCAGUGGCAUUCAACAAAUGAGGGGAAAAAUAACAUAAACCUAAACCACUGUUUUUAUGAGAGGGUAUGUAUAUUUAUACAUCAGUCUCGUGUUUAAAUGUUCCAUUUGGGGCUACGGUUUUUUGAAAAAGUACUAUUUUUUCCCUUUUUAUAGAAACAAAAUUCACUUUGAAUUGUGGCAUUUUUUUUUUUUUUUUGGAAAAGAAAAGGCUGCAUUUGAACUUUAGAACUAAAAGAGUGUCUGGUCCACAGCAACCCUAUGAACAAGAUUUCAGGAAAUCAUAUGGGGCCCUACCAGAAAUGGAACAGAGGGGCUGUCGGCUGUGUCGCUCAUGGUUAGAGCCGUCGUCACCGGGGCCUGUGGUCCCGACCACAAGCAUGUGACCAGGGGCCCCGAUGGAGCGGCUGGGCUGAGUCAGACCUUCUGCUUGCCUUGGCGCCGGCCCUGCCGAAGGCAGAGCGCAGAGAGGCCCCCUCCCCCUCUCGCUGGGCCCCUCCUGCCUUAGACUGGGCCGUGGUGGCUGCCAAAGGCCGCCCCAUCCUGGGCCCAGCGCCACAGUCCGACUCCUGGAGAGAGAGGACAGUGUGGAGAGGGAGGUGGAAGAGCAGGCUGGGGGGGUGGGGGCAAGUCACUGAGCCCAACGGGUCCGAGAAGGGGCCUGGCUUGUCUGCCAGGAGGGUUGUGUGCUGCCGCGGGUGUGGGUCAGGCCCACUGGGAGGGCAGGUUUUAAACUCUCCCUUAAACCCCAGGUGUGGGCCAGACCCUGGCUGGCGGUCAGUGUAGGGGGAGGAUGAACUCGGUUUGUUUGAUGCUGGGGAGCGGGGAAGGCAGCCGGGGAAACCCACGUGCCCCCUAACCGGCCCCCUCUGAUUCCAGGCGCACACUGUGCUCUCAGAUCAGCAGGAGCAGGGCCCGCUCUGGGUCCUAACUGAGCACCCAUCACGGUGAGCCCCGUGUGCUCGCACGGCUGGAACUCGUCACUCUGCCUCAGCAUCUUGGUCCACAGGAGACAAUAGGGGCCCAGAGCUUAGUGAGUGCAGAGUCGGGACUCGAGCCUCCGUCUGACCAGCUCCAGCAUCCGCGUUCUGACCAUGGGAUUAAACUCCCUCGGGUCUGACCCAGGAACCAGAGGACCUGGAACCCAAUUCCACGUUUGUCACUCACUGGCUGGGCCGCCUGAGGAAGCUGCUGUCCAUCCCUGACCUCUGAUGCACUGAGUCAGAUGGAGCUAAUUCUAGUGCUUGCCUGCCAGGGUUUUCUGAGGAAAUGUAUGUGAAAGUGACGUGCCCCCUGCAGAACUGAGGAGAGAACCUCCCGGAUGCCGCUCUCCUGUGCUCUCCUGCUUUUUGACCACUUCAUGCUCACGAGAGGAGCUUGUGCGUGUUCCCUGCAAGGACAGCCACACUUCGUCGUGGGACCUGCUGCAUGUCCCCAGCUCUGUGUUGACUCUGAGAUGUGCAGGCCCAGAGCCGAUGGAGCGAGGGCCCCACCACCUGACUGGUAAAGCCUCCCCCUAGAUGAGACUCUCCGGACUCAUCUUUCCCUGAACCGGACGUGAGGCUGGGACACGGCCACGCAGCCCCCAAACCCGCCGUCUCCUUGGUCACUCCUUACUUCCCUCCAGCCGCCCCUCACUCUCCAGGCUGUGGGCGUCCUCCUUUCGGCAGCCUGUGCGUCCACCCCGUCUCCAGUGCGGGCAGGUCUGAGCUCAGCCUCUCCCUCCUGCCGCUCCCCAGCCCGCUGCCUGAUGGCCAGGCACUGCCCCCAAGCUGUUCUUCACCAGCCACGCAGGUCUUCGGCCCCUUCUGGCUUAGAGUCCACCAGGGCUCAAGCGUCCCACUCCUUGCAGGGCCCCGUGAUCAGGGUGGCGACCUUUCCCGCCAGUCCUGUCCAGCUCCCCUCGCACCACUGCCCCACGGGCAGGCAAUGCACGCUGAGUGCCCUCUCUGCUCCCCGAUCCAUCCUUGGGAACCCAGUCUGGGCAACCUCUUCCAGGAAGCCUCUGAGUCCAUCAGUCGGUGGGGGAUUUCUCCGAGGACCCGCAGCGCCUGCCUGUGCCUUUCACUUCCCUCCUCGGAGUGCAGCCUCGGCGUGUCUGACGCGGGGUAGAAGGACCGCGCUCAGUGCACGCGGUGGACACCCUGGUCAGAUGCACUGGUGGGCGUGGUGGACUAUCCAGGGUCAGAUGCGCCAGGACACACAGUGGACAUCCCCGGGUCAGACGCGCCAGUGCACGUGGUGGAUGACCCAGGGCCAGAUGCUGCGCUGACGUGUGAGUCAUUCUGAGGUCGUUGGGCAGCUGGUUGACCCCACUCUGCUCCUCCUGCGGCCAGGCUCCGCUCCCCCUAGUGCUCCCAGGGCUGCCUAAGUGCUCCACGCCCUCUGGGGGGGUGGAGGAGGGGCCAUCAACCCUCCCCCUGCGGGUGGCCCUGCGAGGCUAGCGAGGCGGGGGUGGGGGGGGCCGGUGACGGCGACAGGAAGCAGUGCCCACAGUGAGGGCUCCCUGUUGGCCCGGUGGAGUCAGAGCCGUCUCCCGUCCCCCCCCUACCCCCCCCCCCACCCCUGCCUGCUUAGGGGAGGUCCAUCCUGCCUCCGGCCAAGACAGAAGCAGAAGACAGCAGCUCGAGCUCUGCUCCCUCCCCUGAGGUGGGACACCAUCAGAGGCCACUGCGCACCCCGCAUCUCAGAAAUGUCAGGUUUGCUCAAAAUGCGACAGAGCGAGGCCACCUGUCCCCUGCGCCUGAAGCUGCAGUCAUACCGCGCACGGCCGAGGGUUUGUGCCCUGCUGUGGAGGAGCGGCCGCGGUGUUGGGACAAGACUGGGACCCGCUGAGGAUCGGGGAGGGGACAGACACCAUCUCAUUUGCUGUGGUCCACUGGUGUGUCGAGGAACCGGCCUGAGAAGUUCUGGGGACAUUCGAGGUUUCCCACAGCAGAGUCACAAGGAGGGUACACACUGGCGGGGGCAGUGACCCCGAGAUUUCAUCCACAGAACCUGAUUCCUACAGAACGAAAGCAAGCAAACGGGCGAAAUUCUCAGUAGCCUAGAAUCUUCAGGGAAAGUGCUGCCCCAAAUUACAGAGUGUCUUCAUCCAGA